GAUGAAGUGACCAAGUGGUUAAGGUGAUGGACUGCUAAUCCAUUGUGCACUGCAUGCCUGGGUCCAUAAUUCCAUCCUUGUCC
Loxodonta africana (African savanna elephant) is the source of this 83-nucleotide non-coding RNA. NCBI's taxonomy places the organism in Eukaryota, Metazoa, Chordata, Mammalia, Proboscidea, Elephantidae. The record is from Rfam.